RNAcentral lists this ribosomal RNA (305 nucleotides) under uncultured bacterium. RNAcentral describes it as "bacterial SSU rRNA". It matches the Rfam family "Bacterial small subunit ribosomal RNA", at positions 331 to 630 of the family's 1533-position model. The record is from RNAcentral.
CUUGACCUACGGGGGGCAGCAGUAGGGAAUCUUCCACAAUGGACGAAAGUCUGAUGGAGCAACGCCGCGUGAGUGAAGAAGGGUUUCGGCUCGUAAAGCUCCGUUGGUAGUGAAGAAAGAUAGAGCUAGUAACUGGCCUUUAUUUGACGGUAAUUACUUAGAAAGUCACGGCUAACUACGUGCCAGCAGCCGCGGUAAUACGUAGGUGGCAAGCGUUGUCCGGAAUUAUUGGGUGUAAAGGGUGCGUAGACGGGAAAUUAAGUUAGUUGUGAAAUCCCUUGGCUUAACUGAGGAACUGCAACUAA